Molecule: long non-coding RNA, 369 nt
Organism: Syngnathus acus (greater pipefish)
Lineage: Eukaryota; Metazoa; Chordata; Actinopteri; Syngnathiformes; Syngnathidae
Exons: 3
Source: RefSeq, a predicted model, not a curated record
ACGGUGUCGUAUUUUUAAUCUUUACGACAGACACUGUCACUUGCCGUUACAAUUCGCUACCACUAGAUGGGCGUCAGGUGCCGCCAUUACAAAAUACGUAAGCCCGCCAUUACAAAAUAUGUAAUGGCGUCUUUGACUAGUGUGAGCGUAUGUGUAAAAAGUUUAACAGUCGUAUUUUAAGGACGCGAAUUGUUUGCUUCCCUCUUAACAACGGUACAAAAUGAAAAACAAAAAGGAAUCGAAAAGGCUCAUUGGAUUCAGCAGCUGGGCUGUCGCCGGUUACCACGUCCGCCUCAUAAUUCAGAGUUGCUGGGAUCGAUUCCGACUCCCGCCUUCCUGUGUGGAGUUUGCAUAUUCCCCCCGUGCCUG